This 321-nucleotide ribosomal RNA is filed under the name Triticum aestivum (bread wheat). RNAcentral's name for it is "partial small subunit ribosomal RNA". Lineage: Eukaryota; Viridiplantae; Streptophyta; Magnoliopsida; Poales; Poaceae. The record is from RNAcentral.
AUGCAUGCAUGUACCUGGCCUAUUGAUUUCUUCACGUCCCACAUCCUGGGAGGCUACGCCAUGUAUGCGGGCAUUGUAGCCCACGGUCUGCUCGAUGAAGCUUGCGGGGCUGGCUCGGGGAAGACUCGGGCGCUCGAUGUAGUUCGUUCGGAUGGCUCGGGGAAGACUUGUAUGGCUCGGCGAUGUGUUGGCUGCCGAACGGCGUCGCCGCACGGAUCUGCUGGAUUUUCUUCAUCGGAUGGGAUCAAUCUAAUACAAAUUUAUUUGGCUACUAAAAAAGAAAUCAAUCUAACUGAACACCGAAAAUUGGAAUUGACCUAA